Molecule: ribosomal RNA, 256 nt
Filed under: uncultured bacterium
Lineage: Bacteria
Description: partial 16S ribosomal RNA
Rfam family: Bacterial small subunit ribosomal RNA
Source: RNAcentral
UACGUAGGGUGCGAGCAUUGUCCGGAAUUAUUGGGCGUAAAGAGCUCGUAGGCGGCCUGUCACGUCGGAUGUGAAAGCCCGGGGCUUAACCCCCGGGUCUGCAUUCGAUACGGGCAGGCUGGAGUUCGGUAGGGGAGAUCGGAAUUCCUGGUGUAGCGGUGAAAUGACGCAGAUAUCAGGAGGAACACCGGUGGCGAAGGCGGAUCUCUGGGCCGAUACUGACGCUGAGGAGCGAAAGCGUGGGGGAGCGAACAGG